Molecule: long non-coding RNA, 1621 nt
Organism: Nomia melanderi (Alkali bee)
Lineage: Eukaryota; Metazoa; Arthropoda; Insecta; Hymenoptera; Halictidae
Source: RefSeq, a predicted model, not a curated record
UCUCCUGAUCGGUUCAACCGAACUAAUCUUCCGCCGUGCCGUAAUCUUUUGUUCCUUGAUUCCACCGUUGACGGAUCGGGGCGUGCGUGGAACGACUCUCGUGAAACGUCUAACCGCGUUAUCGGGCUCUAACGAGUCUGCUGAUCGUGGCGUGAAACCGAUACGAUCCGGCACCGUGAUCACCGGGACACCGCAUUGUCGUGUAAUUCAAUAAUAAGCAAAGUUAAUUCCCAAGUCUACCGGAUCGGACAACCAGAUCCCGGAAUCCCAAUCACUCGUGCAAGUACUGUCCACAGACGACAGCCCUUUCCGGUCGGAGCACUCCGAGAGUGGGUUAUCCAAUUAGUCGUAACUCUCAGUUGAUCACAUUUUUGAAAUGAAGGCGUCGAAUAGAGCAAGGUGCAGUGUCUUGAAUGCGAAACACCACUGAAGCGUUAUCAAGCUCUCCUAGGUGUCGCGUCAUCGGGUAAUAUUUUUGAGCGAAGGCAUACACUUCUGAUGGCGGGAAUUAUCGGCGAUGUUAUAUGGUUAACACGUUUGCUGUCACGGAAACCUUCAGUUUUGUAUAUCGCUUCUUUUGUAGCAAAGAUAAAGAACAACAGUUAUUUAUUAGUUGGUAUCGAAAUGCUUACGUCAGGCUGUCAUCUGGUUAUUUAUGCUGUUAAACAUUCUUAUUCGACAUAAGGUAUCUGUUAAUUCGACUAAUUAUGUCGAUUAGAAUUUAUAUUAAAUGAACUGUUUAACAUCAUGUCUGAUUUCAAUGAUAGACUUCAUUAGCACGUUGAAUGCCGCACGAUUUCAUAGAGCAAAAUAUACAAAAUGAAAAAAUAUAAUAAGUUAUUUGAUUGAAUUGAGUUACUGUUAUUGCACGUUCAUCUAGUUGAAUAUUAUAGCAUUGGGUAGCAUUGUUUAUGAUAUAGAAAUGUUAACAAAUAAUCGUCGUUUAAUUGAAUCAACUACACUAAUUCGAUUUGGUUGAAUCACCGGUGACCCCCAUGGCAUUCAACGCGUUAAAGUGAAGAAUUGUUGUUGAGAACGAGCGUUCAAUUUAUAAAAUUGACAAUCGAUUCAAAUGUGGUAGACAGCCACAAUUAUUCGACCCCGCGGCCAUCUCGCGGACGCGGCGAAUUCUAUGCCGUGAUAAGCGGGUUGCGCUGCCGAGGCGUUGCAACCAUUAUACUUUAGAUAAAAGCUUUCGUAGACGUGGAGAAAAAUGAAACGCGAUGGUAAAAUAGUGGACGACGAAUUAUGGCGCGGGGAAAUUCGGCGGCGUCUGCGAGACAACUCAAAAUGGCGGCACAACGCAACGAUCCGAAGUAAAGCUUCAAGUCCAUUGUCUCCGCGAGCACUAUGAACGACCUCGAUUCACUCGCGGCGUAAAAUGCACGUGAGAUGCGAGCAUCUGCCUUGGAGCCUUGUUAUCUUCUACUGCCAAUAUAUCAAACUGACAAUACGUUAAAUGUUGUAUAGAUUUCGUCGGGACGUGUAUCUAUACCCGGCAAAGAAACGAGACGCUUGCAACAAGUGUCGCGGCAAAUGCGCCUUUUCUACGGCUUUGGUGUACGAUUUAAUUUUUCUCAUGGAAAGAGUUUUAGACGUUUGAUGAAUUCUUGUUUUCUGA